RNAcentral lists this ribosomal RNA (301 nucleotides) under uncultured bacterium. Its description in RNAcentral is "partial 16S ribosomal RNA". It matches the Rfam family "Bacterial small subunit ribosomal RNA", at positions 509 to 808 of the family's 1533-position model. The record is from RNAcentral.
CAGCAGCCGCGGUAAUACGUAGGUGACAAGCGUUGUCCGGAAUUACUGGGCGUAAAGGGCUCGCAGGCGGUUUCUUAAGUCUGAUGUGAAAGCCCCCGGCUCAACCGGGGAGGGUCAUUGGAAACUGGGAAACUUGAGUGCAGAAGAGGAGAGUGGAAUUCCACGUGUAGCGGUGAAAUGCGUAGAGAUGUGGAGGAACACCAGUGGCGAAGGCGACUCUCUGGUCUGUAACUGACGCUGAGGAGCGAAAGCGUGGGGAGCGGACAGGAUUAGAUACCCCUGUAGUCCCUGUCUCUUAACA